GGAUGACGUCAAGUCAUCAUGGCCCUUACGCCUAGGGCUACACACGUACUACAAUGGUGCAUACAAAGGGCAGCGAGACCGCGAGGUUCAGCCAAUCCCAAAAAAUGCAUCCCAGUCCGGAUCGGAGUCUGCAACUCGACUCCGUGAAGUUGGAAUCGCUAGUAAUCCCGGAUCAGCAUGCCGGGGUGAAUACGUUCCCGGGCCUUGUACACACCGCCCGUGGGGCGG
This 228-nucleotide ribosomal RNA is filed under the name uncultured delta proteobacterium. RNAcentral describes it as "partial 16S ribosomal RNA". It matches the Rfam family "Bacterial small subunit ribosomal RNA", at positions 1177 to 1404 of the family's 1533-position model. The record is from RNAcentral. Lineage: Bacteria; Deltaproteobacteria.